GCUUAGCGACUUCAGUACAUGCCUCAUAAUUCCAGUCUCAAACUUAACCCCGUUCCUGCUGAAGAAGAGAUAAGGUCUGUUGGAUGGAGAAAGUAGCUCUCGUGAAAGAGGAGGAGGAGGAGGAAGAGGAGGUUGUUACAAUACAAAAACAAGUAGAAGGAGAGAGGCGUGACUAUCGUGGAUCCUCUGGGGAGCCUCAACAACCUCAUGAUGCUGACGAGGCAGAGAAGAGUCUCUCUACGUCAAAACACCUCAAGAAACACCAGCAGAGACCCACAGGGAAGACAUCUCAUUGCUGCUCUGACUGUGGGAAAGGUUGCAAAUCUUCAUCAGAAAUUAAAAUACACCAGAGAACACACACAGGAGAGAAAUCUCAUAGCUGUGAUCAAUGUGGGAAGAGUUUUAUUACAUCUAGCCAGCUGACUUCACACCAGAGAACACACACAGGAGAGAAACCUCAUAGCUGUGAUCAAUGUGACAAGAAAUACUCUGAUAAAAGAGCUCUGAUCAAACAUCAGAAAAUACAUACAUGAAGGAGUUGUUUAAUGAUAUCAAUGAAAUAAUGUCACAAUGCAGAAUGUUUUAACAUUGUAGUAGGAGUAUUUUAAUGAUGUCACAAUGUAGAAUGUUUUAACAUUGUAGUAGGAGUAUUUUAAUGAGGUUCUACCUUAUUCUACCUUAUGCUGCAAUCAAUAUCAUGAUUGCAGCAUGAUAUGGAUAUUAGCCUCAGGGGAAAAUCCCGGCUCUGAAUUGAAAGAGUAUUAUUUAACAAAAGGUGACUAACAAAAAAGAGCUGUGUGACACUUACUGCGUUGGUGACCCACUUUAAUCAAAAUGCAGUACUUCAAAAUGUAGCUAGCUGUUUUCUACAAGUUGAAAAAGCUGCUUGUUUAAGAAAAUACACGUAAUAUGAUAAUUGGUGCAGAUGUUUCUGUAUAUACACACAUGAAAGCAGUAUAAUAUAUUGGUCUAUAAUCAAUGUUAUUAACAAUCUGA
Salvelinus fontinalis (brook trout) is the source of this 996-nucleotide long non-coding RNA. RefSeq lists it as uncharacterized. The transcript is spliced from 2 exons. The record is from RefSeq and is a predicted model, not a curated record. Lineage: Eukaryota; Metazoa; Chordata; Actinopteri; Salmoniformes; Salmonidae.